ACCGCCUGUUCCCGCGCGGUUCGCUAGAGGGCAGGCGGGGCCCGUGCAAAGCCUGCGCGCCAGGGCACGCGCGCACCCAGCACGGCUCCAGCGCUUUAGCUCCCGAUCCAGGGCUGAGUUCCGCCGCCGGCGCGAGAGUGAGGUCGCGUCCGGAGCGCUAAGCUCCCCGACCCGGGAAAGCUUCAUAGUCAAAGGAACUGACAAGCCGCAGCUCAAUGCACUAUCACAGUAACUGAGUAGCUGGAAAUCAGUUCCGCUGAGCGAGCGAGGGGAGGCGAGGCACGAUGGAGACACCAGCCAGGUGAUCCUGAAUCGUCAGCGCCAGUGUGCGCGAUUCCAGCUGCCCGCAGGACUGCACGUGGAACCCAGUUGCCUUUCCUUGCCCUCCCUCUGGUGGAGCGUUCUAGCGACAGUGAAAUCAGGAAAGCAUUGGCACCCUGCUGCAGAAGACAGAACUGAAAGGCCACAGAAAUCCGCAGCAUGGAGUGACCCCCAAAGUCUCCAGGUUAAGAAAACACUCAUCACCGUUCUCCCGGAGCUUUGGCCGAGUAUGCCCUGCGGUGGUCAGGAAGCGGCGUAGUGCGUGCGAACAGCCAACAGCCAACAGCCGUAGUCAGCCUCUGCACUCGUGCAGAGACUCGCUCUGCUUUUCCCUGCUCUGGGUUAAUACCAGCAGAACCACUGCCUCUGCCUUGUUUGCUUUCUCUAAUUGCCACGAUUUAAACCGGGUUCUAUCUGGCUAUGGGAGCCGCCUCCCUCCUGUACGUGGGAAAGGCGGGGAGCAAAAAUGUACGUUUUAAAUUGUUCUAAAAUAAAAGUUAUUUUAUUUUAGUUUAA
Cavia porcellus (domestic guinea pig) is the source of this 837-nucleotide long non-coding RNA. RefSeq lists it as uncharacterized. Lineage: Eukaryota; Metazoa; Chordata; Mammalia; Rodentia; Caviidae. The transcript has 2 exons. The record is from RefSeq and is a predicted model, not a curated record.